UUAGAACAUAAUAUUACUGCCAUG
RNAcentral lists this non-coding RNA (24 nucleotides) under Arabidopsis thaliana (thale cress). Lineage: Eukaryota; Viridiplantae; Streptophyta; Magnoliopsida; Brassicales; Brassicaceae. The record is from RNAcentral.